AUCACCACCCUCCUUUGCGAGCCUAGCAGUGUUACCAUGUGACACGAACGUCGCUCGCUCUUGGAAUGAUGUGUACACGUACCCCAGAUAUGGGUUGUUCUCAAAACCAGCGUCCUACACAGUUAAACAAACUCAACUACAAUUUUUAACAUGGAAAAUAUAUUUAUAUAUAUAUAUAUAUAUAUAUAUAUAUAUUUAUUUAAUAUCUUUUGAAAUAAUUAUAAAAAACUUUACUGUUAUACUUACCAUGCCUGCAGCAAUGAGGUAAUGAAUGGUCUUUUCAAUCAUGUUCAUGUUAACACGACCAGAAAGAUACAAGUAUGUUCUGAGCAAAUCUCCAUGUCUGUUCUCUUCUGCGGACCAGCCUCGAUUCCACACAGCCCACGGGCUUGGGCUUGUUCCGCAGUCGUCUUUCACGCCGUCGAGGCUGUU
This 432-nucleotide long non-coding RNA is filed under the name Vigna radiata. RNAcentral describes it as "long non-coding RNA (VRAD_LNC005533)". Lineage: Eukaryota; Viridiplantae; Streptophyta; Magnoliopsida; Fabales; Fabaceae. The record is from RNAcentral.